AUGAGAUUGGACAAUGGUGGCUCUAAACCAGAAGCAAAUGGAAUCCCUGAAGGUGAACACAAAGAGCUGGCACGUGUGAGAUUCUCUGCACAGGCCUGUCCCACUGAGUAUUGCUGUUCCACUGUGUGCUUUGGAAACUGUGACUCUGUAAGCAAUUAGAGAGAGAGGCCAGUUAAAGGCAAGGGAGAGAGAUGCCAGUUUGACUUACCAGACCUAGAUCGUCGAGAAGCAGGUACAAAAAGAAAACAACCUCAGGCAUGUUUUCAACUCUAUAACAAUGUUACCCAAACUUUUUAGGGAGAAAGAGGAAAGAAUGCUAUUUGUGUCCUUAGAAUGUUUGUCUGUAUAAAGGAGAAUGACAUACCUAAAACAAAAUGAAUUCCUACAGCAAGAUCUGCAUGCCCUCUUGAUUCUGGGACUAAGCAAAAGACCUGUUGGUGUUUGGACAGGUAGUCUUUCUAUUUAUUUAUUUAUGGCUUGAAAACUAAUGUAAUCAUCUCUGUCUUUCUGAGCUCUCUUUUCCUUGAAGUAACUUGGCACUUUCUAACAUUUGGGAAUGUCUGAUGGGCCCAGCAACAGUAAAUCACUUCUAAUUAGAGAAAGUUUGAAACAGUGCUGGGCUAAGAUGCUGACGUGAAAUGAACUUUACACAGGUUUCAGUAUUAAAACUGAAAGAUUUCUCAAUGCACACACAAAUGCUAGUGUCUGAGAUGAGAACUUUACUCCUUUCUUGGUAGUGAGUGAGAAAGAGAGAUAAUUUAUUAGAGCUUUAAUAGAGUUAACUUAGAUGUUGUUCUUGUUUACAAGAAUGCAGUGUCGAAGAAAAAGAAGAAGAAGAAGACGACAACAACAACAACGACAAACAUAAGUAUCUCCCACUGUCGUCCCCAAAAUUAGAUCAACAUUUAUGAAUGUGAGCUUAAGCCAUAGUAUCAAGUGGGAUGAAUGGGAGUUCAGUAGGGCUGGAUGAACUGUUCUGGUGCAAGUUGGUGGCAGCUCCCAAAUCAGCCACAUUUGAGUUUGCAAACAGAAGUUAGAUACUAUGAAAUUCAACAAAUAGAGGGCUUAAUCCUGCAAAUCCUUUGCUCACAGAAGUCCCAUAGCAGAGAAUUCUAUGCAUGAACCAUGCGCUCCAGUAUCCCAUUCUUGGAUUCCAGGU
Molecule: long non-coding RNA, 1159 nt
Filed under: Chrysemys picta bellii (western painted turtle)
Lineage: Eukaryota; Metazoa; Chordata; Testudines; Emydidae
Description: lncRNA (ENSCPBG00000017787.1)
Source: RNAcentral